Long non-coding RNA from Triticum dicoccoides, 1011 nucleotides. RefSeq lists it as uncharacterized. NCBI's taxonomy places the organism in Eukaryota, Viridiplantae, Streptophyta, Magnoliopsida, Poales, Poaceae. The transcript has 4 exons. The record is from RefSeq and is a predicted model, not a curated record.
GUCCCUUCUCCUAUCCUUCCCUACCUCCUCUGAUUUGGGAUUACCUCCUCUGAUUUGCUUCCGGCACACCUCUACUCCUGCGGCCUCUACCUGGAACCCUCGGUUGAUUUGAUUCCGCCAUACCUCCACUCUUGCAGCCUCUACCUGGAACCCUCGGCUUCAUGAAAGUAAGCACCAGAGGCCCCUCCGCGCUCUCGCCCCUGCCCUCAUCCUCCUCCGCGUACCCUCUAUCUACUCCUUUACACGUCCCGUCAGCCACGACCGUGAUGCCCAUCGAACAACAGAGCCGACAGAUCAUUUAUACAGUAUAUGGGUUCUCGCAGUCGCAGCGAAGGGUGACCGUCAGGCUCUUUAUGGUUGAUAGCUUGACGUUAGGGAGGUGUCGAAGUCUACUCGCCUGAUCCUGGUCGAGGAAACGAAAUGAUCAGCGUAGACCGACUUUGUUGAGAAAUUCCGCUAGCUUCCCACGACCAUGACCAGAUACCAAUUCCGUUAAUGAGAGAGGUGAAAAUUGUGAACCUUUUUCCCAGAUCGCAAGGCUCUGAAGAAACUGAAUGUUCAGAGCACCCUUGAUGUACCUCAGCCAUGCCGAAUUUUGUAAGGCCUUCGCCACCAUUAUUUGCUCAAGGAGGUACCCGCCAGCCAUUUCGUGCCUUCGGCCCGCCACCUUGACGUACAGACGUAACAAGUUUCAUGCAGGCAUUAUGAUGUACUGAUAUGGGUGCUUGACAAGGUGGAAGAGCUAUAUAUUUAUAGUUUUCUCUGAUUCGGUUUAUUCUAUUUACCAUGGACCUAUGAAACCGGAAUGUUACCUCAAAAAAAGUCAGUCUUGCAAAGAAAAGGAACAUUUGCGAGGAUACGAUACAUAUCUUGUUCAGUUUAUUAAACUGGUCAGAGUUUUCCUACCUUUUGUUUAUGAGAUAACUUGUACGUUUGAGACAAGAUUAGCACCAUCUUUAUCAAGUUUGUGUCUUAUAGUUAUGCUGUUAUUUAUGUUUACCCUUUACGUCC